RNAcentral lists this ribosomal RNA (467 nucleotides) under uncultured bacterium. RNAcentral's name for it is "partial 16S ribosomal RNA". It matches the Rfam family "Bacterial small subunit ribosomal RNA", at positions 28 to 506 of the family's 1533-position model. The record is from RNAcentral.
GAUGAACGCUGGCGGCGUGCUUAACACAUGCAAGUCGAACGGUGAAGGCGGAGCUUGCUCUGCUGGAUCAGUGGCGAACGGGUGAGUAACACGUGAGCAAUCUGCCCCUGACUCUGGGAUAAGCGCUGGAAACGGCGUCUAAUACUGGAUACGAGCUGCGAAGGCAUCUUCAGCAGCUGGGAAGAAUUUCGGUCAGGGAUGAGCUCGCGGCCUAUCAGCUUGUUGGUGAGGUAAUGGCUCACCAAGGCGUCGACGGGUAGCCGGCCUGAGAGGGUGACCGGCCACACUGGGACUGAGACACGGCCCAGACUCCUACGGGAGGCAGCAGUGGGGAAUAUUGCACAAUGGGCGAAAGCCUGAUGCAGCAACGCCGCGUGAGGGACGACGGCCUUCGGGUUGUAAACCUCUUUUAGCAGGGAAGAAGCGAAAGUGACGGUACCUGCAGAAAAAGCGCCGGCUAACUACGU